UUCCUCUGGAGAAAUCUCAAGAAGAACUUGGAUCAGAAAAGGAUUUUUCUGCUAAAAUUGGAUGACAGACUACUUCACAUGGAAUAGAUGAAAAACUGAGUUUAUCCUAAUAAGAAAGCACGGUACACAGGAUUACUUAAUUUCCAAGGAAGAGAAUCAGUUACAUCCUACACCUGUAUGCCUUCAUGCUGAGUCAUCCCUAGAUCCUCGCGACCCAGGAGGCUGCAUCUUAAACACAAGCCUUGGAUCCCCAGAUCAAUGGAUAUGUUUCAACAAGUGGAGAAGCACACCACCUGUCCUUACUGCUAAACCAACAGAAAUCCUUUGAAGAGUCUGUGACUAAACCAAUGUGCUGUCUGGAGAGAAUGUGCAAAAAGCUUACUUCUCCCAGACUGUGGGAAUAGAUAAAGAACACAAAGAAGCUGAAGGAGAAGGACAAAUGCCCGUAUUUUCUUGAAGUGACAAAGUGCCUGAUUCCAGCAAUGAUUCCCCAGUCCGCUGCAGUGCUGGAUUUCCAUUGUGGCUAUUAUUUGCUGAAACCAAGCCCAGAGCCCAUGGUGACAGGAUAAGAAUGUGAAAGAGA
Molecule: long non-coding RNA, 583 nt
Organism: Ochotona princeps (American pika)
Lineage: Eukaryota; Metazoa; Chordata; Mammalia; Lagomorpha; Ochotonidae
Exons: 3
Source: RefSeq, a predicted model, not a curated record